GGGGGCGGCCGGACCAGGACCAGGAAACAGCUGCUCGUACUCCGGUACAGAAAUGAGGCAUCUCUGUGUACCAGUAUUCUCACUGGACCCCUGGCCUGAGGUCUGCGCUUUGUCUGAACAGGAUCAGGUUGGGACCGAAAAGGACAGAGUGAACAAUGAUUGUGCACCAACCACAUGGGACAGGUCUGGCAGGGACAGGAGUCUGGUGAAAAGCCUGCCACUGAAAGGGGAGGUCCGAGCUCCAGAGCUACAGGCCGACUGGCUCCUGCCCAGCCCACAGAUUCCUCUGCCUUCCAUCCCUCCCUGUUUCCACAGCCCGCCCCCAACGAUUUCCUCCCUUCUCAGUCACUCGCUGCCUAGUGAUCCAUGGGUUUUAAAUUAUAACUGGGACCCAGGAAACGCGUUCCUAAGUACAA
Molecule: long non-coding RNA, 416 nt
Organism: Zalophus californianus (California sea lion)
Lineage: Eukaryota; Metazoa; Chordata; Mammalia; Carnivora; Otariidae
Exons: 3
Source: RefSeq, a predicted model, not a curated record